GACGAACGCUGGCGGCGUGCCUAAUACAUGCAAGUAGAACGCUGAAGGAGGAGCUUGCUUCUCUGGAUGAGUUGCGAACGGGUGAGUAACGCGUAGGUAACCUGCCUGGUAGCGGGGGAUAACUAUUGGAAACGAUAGCUAAUACCGCAUAAUAGUAGAUGUUGCAUGACAUUUGCUUAAAAGGUGCAAUUGCAUCACUACCAGAUGGACCUGCGUUGUAUUAGCUAGUUGGUGGGGUAACGGCUCACCAAGGCGACGAUACAUAGCCGACCUGAGAGGGUGAUCGGCCACACUGGGACUGAGACACGGCCCAGACUCCUACGGGAGGCAGCAGUAGGGAAUCUUCGGCAAUGGACGGAAGUCUGACCGAGCAACGCCGCGUGAGUGAAGAAGGUUUUCGGAUCGUAAAGCUCUGUUGUAAGAGAAGAACGAGUUUGAGAGUGGAAAGUUCACACUGUGACGGUAUCUUACCAGAAAGGGACGGCUAACUACGUG
Molecule: ribosomal RNA, 495 nt
Filed under: uncultured bacterium
Lineage: Bacteria
Description: partial 16S ribosomal RNA
Rfam family: Bacterial small subunit ribosomal RNA
Source: RNAcentral